Molecule: ribosomal RNA, 395 nt
Filed under: uncultured Pseudomonas sp.
Lineage: Bacteria; Pseudomonadati; Pseudomonadota; Gammaproteobacteria; Pseudomonadales; Pseudomonadaceae
Description: bacterial SSU rRNA
Rfam family: Bacterial small subunit ribosomal RNA
Source: RNAcentral
UGCAGAGAACUUUACCAGAGAUGGAUUGGUGCCUUCGGGAACUCUGACACAGGUGCUGCAUGGCUGUCGUCAGCUCGCGUCGUGAGAUGUUGGGUUAAGUCCGUAACGAGCGCAACCCUUGUCCUUAGUUACCAGCACGUUAUGGUGGGCACUCUAAGGAGACUGCCGGUGCAAACCGGAGGAAGGUGGGGAUGACGUCAAGUCAUCAUGGCCCUUACGGCCUGGGCUACACACGUGCUACAAUGGUCGGUACAAAGGGUUGCCAAGCCGCGAGGUGGAGCUAAUCCCAUAAAACCGAUCGUAGUCCGGAUCGCAGUCUGCAACUCGACUGCGUGAAGUCGGAAUCGCUAGUAAUCGUGAAUCAGAAUGUCACGGUGAAUACGUUCCCGGGCCUU